AAGGAAGCGAGCUGUAAUGGCGGGAAGAGAGCUUAUUCACAUUUCCCGUUGCUCUUCGCUCCCUUUCCUUUUUUGAGUGACCAGUGAAGUAGGUCUGCCGCGUGUUGCUAUGGCUGGGGUGGGACAAGGGGGAUGCCUGCCUGCUGGUGAGUUACCAGUUAGAAGCAGGACAGCUUCCAGUGAUAACACGUUGCUCUCUUAUUCUUCUGGAAAACGUUCAAGGUCGCGCUGGCGGGAGUACUCAGUAGGCCAGACGCGGGACGUACUCAAGAGUAGUAUAUCCCAGCACUUCGUUUGUAUUAGCUACUCUCAGUGAAGAAAUCAUAACCAUGGCAACGGGUCUCAAGGUGUACUUCUGUGGCAGCAUCAGAGCUGGCCGAGGAGACGUGGAGAUUUAUGGUCGCAUUGUGGAGAUGCUCGGGAAGUAUGGCACCGUUUUGACACCUUUCGUGGCUGAUCCAAACCUGACAGUACAUUCAGCUGAAGAAGG
Penaeus vannamei (Pacific white shrimp) is the source of this 490-nucleotide non-coding RNA. The record is from RefSeq and is a predicted model, not a curated record. Lineage: Eukaryota; Metazoa; Arthropoda; Malacostraca; Decapoda; Penaeidae.